CCCUUAGAGUUUGAUCCUGGCUCAGGAUGAACGCUGGCGGCGUGCUUAACACAUGCAAGUCGAACGGGAAAUAUUUCAUUGAGACUUCGGUGGAUUUGAUCUAUUUCUAGUGGCGGACGGGUGAGUAACGCGUGGGUAACCUGCCUUAUACAGGGGGAUAACAGUCAGAAAUGGCUGCUAAUACCGCAUAAGCGCACAGAGCUGCAUGGCUCAGUGUGAAAAACUCCGGUGGUGUGAGAUGGACCCGCGUCUGAUUAGCUAGUUGGCAGGGUAACGGCCUACCAAGGCGACGAUCAGUAGCCGACCUGAGAGGGUGACCGGCCACAUUGGGACUGAGACACGGCCCAAACUCCUACGGGAGGCAGCAGUGGGGAAUAUUGCACAAUGGGGGAAACCCUGAUGCAGCUACGCCGCGUGAGCGAAGAAGUAUUUCGGUAUGUAAAGCUCUAUCAGCAGGGAAGAAGAAAAGACGGUACCUGACUAAGAAGCACCGGCUAAU
This 499-nucleotide ribosomal RNA is filed under the name uncultured bacterium. RNAcentral describes it as "bacterial SSU rRNA". It matches the Rfam family "Bacterial small subunit ribosomal RNA", at positions 1 to 501 of the family's 1533-position model. The record is from RNAcentral.